GGCGUGGACGUUAAUGACCUGCCUGCCCCGAUGGAUUGAGAUGUUAAUAGAUGACCCUCUUCCUCUUGCGCCCAGUCUCCUGUACCUCUUACCACCGCAACCUCCAGUGACUCAGCCUAACCCACCAUCAUCACCACCACCACCUCUCAGCCUUCCAGCGUACUCGGUGUCUUCUGAUUCUGUGUCUUCCAGAACUGGAGGAGUUCACAGCAAAGGCAGAGUGGAGUGAGGUGAAGCAGGAGAGUCAGGAGAGCCUGCACUUGCUCUGCUGCCCCUUCUCCUCCUCCUCCCGUGUCUCCCGUGUGUUUGCCUCCUGUAUACCCACGACUGCCCUGCAUACCUGGCCAGCCCAGAACUCUCCUCUGCGCUCCAAGCCUGAAUAUCCAGCCACGCACUUGACUUCUCAACCAACGUGUCCGAAGAUGACCAGUCUUUGUCCUGCUCCCUUGGAAGACACCUACACUUGCAUCUCCCACAGGAAGUACAACUACUUUACUACUGAAGGAAGAUUUCUCUUCACAUCUGGCAACAGCCCAGCCAAUGAGAAACACCGGAGCUCAGCCAAUGAGAAGCCAUUACCACCCAGAACUGUUACUUUCCUCCAAUGGACUUUCAAAAAAGUCCCUCCCUACUCCCUCUUUUGCUCUAUGAAAGCAAGCCCCUUCUUUUGUCUCCCGGAAUUUGCUGUAGCAUGCACACCUCGAUUGCAAUUCUUUUGGCUAUUCCCGAAUAAACUUGUUUUGAGGGUAAAAUAACUGGCAAAUUUGCUUUUUAAGUUGACAUAUAUGGUGUCAGAAGUGGGAUCCAAAGGAGGUGACCCCCCUGAGAGACUGUGACCCCCAGAAUCAGUUGAGGUACCCACACUG
Long non-coding RNA from Diceros bicornis minor, 866 nucleotides. RefSeq lists it as uncharacterized. The record is from RefSeq and is a predicted model, not a curated record. The transcript is spliced from 3 exons. NCBI's taxonomy places the organism in Eukaryota, Metazoa, Chordata, Mammalia, Perissodactyla, Rhinocerotidae.